UUUUUUUUUUUUUUUUUAUGGUUGUAAAUUGUCAUUCUUUUUUUUGUUAAUAUUUCAAUUCAAAUGAUAUCCUCAACUUACAUGAGUUUUGACAUGGAGAAAAGAUUCAUCUUACUUUCAAAGAUGGUGUUUUUUAGUAUUGUCAUCUAUACAGGCAAGGUUAGGUGAUCUUGUAGCUUUCCAAUAUUAUAUUGUAUGGCAAUUCUAGAUAAUCCUCUCAAUUGUCAACACUUUGUAACUUGCAGGAUUCUUUUUCUCCUACAGCAUU
RNAcentral lists this unclassified non-coding RNA (268 nucleotides) under Hevea brasiliensis (rubber tree). Lineage: Eukaryota; Viridiplantae; Streptophyta; Magnoliopsida; Malpighiales; Euphorbiaceae. The record is from RNAcentral.